Molecule: long non-coding RNA, 333 nt
Organism: Selaginella moellendorffii
Lineage: Eukaryota; Viridiplantae; Streptophyta; Lycopodiopsida; Selaginellales; Selaginellaceae
Exons: 2
Source: RefSeq, a predicted model, not a curated record
UCGAGCUGCGGAGGAAGCACAGAAGCUCAAAGACGCGGCGAUGGAGCUCGAGGAGAAGCACACAGAGAUUCUAACAGGGAGUACCACUAACGCGAUGAACAAGUCCCACCACUUUCGAGCAAUAUCGUCUUGACGCGGCAGAAAUGCCGUCACGCUCGUGCUAUUGAGUGCCAUGCUUUCGAGUUUGAUAGUCUCAAACUGGCCGGCCAUCCUCAAGCACGUGUUUGACUUCCUGCUCCACCACAGCAUAACAAUUUGAAUAUUCUGACCAAAAUUACAGAUGGUUUCUCCUCUUACUGGAUAGACUAGACGAACUGAAGAGAAGCUUACUCC